Molecule: ribosomal RNA, 402 nt
Filed under: uncultured bacterium
Lineage: Bacteria
Description: bacterial SSU rRNA
Rfam family: Bacterial small subunit ribosomal RNA
Source: RNAcentral
UGGGGAAUCUUGCACAAUGGGGGCAACCCUGAUGCAGCGACGCCGCGUGAGCGAUGAAGCCCUUCGGGGCGUAAAGCUCUUUCGACCGGAACGAUAAUGACGGUACCGGGAGAAGAAGCUGCGGCUAACUACGUGCCAGCAGCCGCGGUAAUACGUAGGCAGCAAGCGUUGUUCGGAGUUACUGGGCGUAAAGAGUGCGUAGGCGGUUUUCUAAGUUCGGUGUGAAAUCUCCCGGCUUAACUGGGAGGGUGCGCCGAAGACUGGGAAGCUGGAGUGGGGUAAAGGCAGGCGGAAUUCCUGGUGUAGCGGUGAAAUGCGUAGAUAUCAGGAGCAACACCGGUGGUGUAGACGGCUCUCUGGACCGUAACUGACGCUGAGACACGAAAGCGUGGGUAGCAAACA